UCAUCUGAAAAGAAAGAAGACGAUGAAGCAUCAAGCCAGGGAGAAGACGAUUCAUCAGACAUGAAAGCCGUGCACAAGAAAUCAAGGAAGAUAGACAAUACAGAUGACAUGUCCAUCAAUGAGAUUGCAAAAGGGCGAUGCAUCAUAUGAAGAGGAAGAAGGCGAUGAAACAUGAGAUGAACCAUAAGAAGAUGGACAAGGUAUGAGAGCAGUAGACAAUACAUCAUGGAAAAUAGACAACAUAUAUGACUUGUCCAUCGAUGAGGUCAUAUAUGUAGACAUUCUUUUUUGUCCCAACCAUCUACACCUCUCUUGGUCCACCGACUUUUAUCCAAUUACCGACGCUGUUUUUUUUUAACCACGGUGUCUCUAGUUCGAUAAACCGUCACUCCUUCUCGUGAGAGACUGUAGAGAAGCUAAACCAAAUAUUAUAAAAAAUCUAAAUAACCAAUAUCA
Arabidopsis lyrata subsp. lyrata is the source of this 456-nucleotide long non-coding RNA. RefSeq lists it as uncharacterized. NCBI's taxonomy places the organism in Eukaryota, Viridiplantae, Streptophyta, Magnoliopsida, Brassicales, Brassicaceae. The transcript is spliced from 2 exons. The record is from RefSeq and is a predicted model, not a curated record.